Molecule: ribosomal RNA, 492 nt
Filed under: uncultured bacterium
Lineage: Bacteria
Description: partial 16S ribosomal RNA
Rfam family: Bacterial small subunit ribosomal RNA
Source: RNAcentral
AGUGAACGCUGGCGGUAGGCCUAACACAUGCAAGUCGAACGGCAGCACAGUAAGAGCUUGCUCUUACGGGUGGCGAGUGGCGGACGGGUGCGGAAUACAUCGGAAUCUACUUUUUCGUGGGGGAUAACGUAGGGAAACUUACGCUAAUACCGCAUACGACCUACGGGUGAAAUCAGGGGAUCUUCGGACCUUGCGCGAUUGAAUGAGCCGAUGUCGGAUUAGCUAGUUGGCGGGGUAAAGGCCCACCAAGGCGACGAUCCGUAGCUGGUCUGAGAGGAUGAUCAGCCACACUGGAACUGAGACACGGUCCAGACUCCUACGGGAGGCAGCAGUGGGGAAUAUUGGACAAUGGGCGCAAGCCUGAUCCAGCCAUACCGCGUGGGUGAAGAAGGCCUUCGGGUUGUAAAGCCCUUUUGUUGGGAAAGAAAAGCAGCAGGUUAAUACCCCGCUGUUCUGACGGUACCAAAAGAAUAAGCACCGGCUAACUUCGUG